CCUACGGGAGGCAGCAGUGGGGAAUUUUGGACAAUGGGCGAAAGCCUGAUCCAGCAAUGCCGCGUGCAGGAAGAAGGCCUUCGGGUUGUAAACUGCUUUUGUACGGAACGAAACGGUCUGCUUUAAUACAGUGGGCUAAUGACGGUACCGUAAGAAUAAGCACCGGCUAACUACGUGCCAGCAGCCGCGGUAAUACGUAGGGUGCGAGCGUUAAUCGGAAUUACUGGGCGUAAAGCGUGCGCAGGCGGUUAUAUAAGACAGUUGUGAAAUCCCCGGGCUCAACCUGGGAAUUGCAUCUGUGACUGUAUAGCUAGAGUACGGUAGAGGGGGAUGGAAUUCCGCGUGUAGCAGUGAAAUGCGUAGAUAUGCGGAGGAACACCGAUGGCGAAGGCAAUCCCCUGGACCUGUACUGACGCUCAUGCACGAAAGCGUGGGGAGCAAACAGGAUUAGAUACCCUGGUAGUCCACGCCCUAAACGAUGUCAACUGGUUGUUGGGUGCAUUAGUACUCAGUAACGAAGCUAACGCGUGAAGUUGACCGCCUGGGGAUACGGCCGCAAGGUUGAAACUCAAAGGAAUUGACGGNNGNGAGNGCGAGACGACGACGAGGGAGGAGG
Molecule: ribosomal RNA, 616 nt
Filed under: uncultured bacterium
Lineage: Bacteria
Description: bacterial SSU rRNA
Rfam family: Bacterial small subunit ribosomal RNA
Source: RNAcentral